UACGUAGGGCGCAAGCGUUAUCCGGAAUUAUUGGGCGUAAAGAGCUCGUAGGCGGUUUGUCGCGUCUGCCGUGAAAGUCCGGGGCUCAACUCCGGAUCUGCGGUGGGUACGGGCAGACUAGAGUGAUGUAGGGGAGACUGGAAUUCCUGGUGUAGCGGUGAAAUGCGCAGAUAUCAGGAGGAACACCGAUGGCGAAGGCAGGUCUCUGGGCCGAUACUGACGCUAAGGCGCGAAAGCGUGGGGAGCGAACAGG
RNAcentral lists this ribosomal RNA (253 nucleotides) under uncultured bacterium. Its description in RNAcentral is "partial 16S ribosomal RNA". It matches the Rfam family "Bacterial small subunit ribosomal RNA", at positions 524 to 776 of the family's 1533-position model. The record is from RNAcentral.